This 633-nucleotide ribosomal RNA is filed under the name uncultured bacterium. Its description in RNAcentral is "bacterial SSU rRNA". It matches the Rfam family "Bacterial small subunit ribosomal RNA", at positions 65 to 743 of the family's 1533-position model. The record is from RNAcentral.
GACGAAGCCUUCGGGCUUAGUGGCGGACGGGUGAGUAACGCGUGAGAAUCUCCCUUCAGGAUGGGGACAACCGUUGGAAACGACGGCUAAUCCCCAAUGUGCCGAGAGGUGAAAGGGUUUCCGCCUGAAGAAGAGCUCGCGUCCGAUUAGUUAGUUGGUGAGGUAAGAGCUCACCAAGGCAGCGAUCGGUAGCUGGUCUGAGAGGAUGAGCAGCCACACUGGGACUGAGACACGGCCCAGACUCCUACGGGAGGCAGCAGUGGGGAAUUUUCCGCAAUGGGCGAAAGCCUGACGGAGCAACGUCGCGUGUGGGAAGAAGGCUCUUGGGCUGUCAACCACUUUUCUCAGGGAAGAAGUCCUGACGGUACCUGAGGAAUCAGCCUCGGCUAACUCCGUGCCAGCAGCCGCGGUAAUACGGAGGAGGCAAGCGUUAUCCGGAAUUAUUGGGCGUAAAGCGUCCGCAGGGGGCGCAUCAAGUCUGCUGUUAAAGGCUGGAGCUUAACUCCGGUAGAGCAGUGGAAACUGGUGCGCUAGAGGGCGACAGGGGUAGAGGGAAUUCCCAGUGUAGCGGUGAAAUGCGUAGAGAUUGGGAAGAACACCGGUGGCGAAAGCGCUCUACUGGGUCGCACCUGA